GAUGAACGCUGGCGGCGUGCCUAAUACAUGCAAGUCGAGCGAACAGACGAGUAGCUUGCUCCUCUGACGUUAGCGGCGGACGGGUGAGUAACACGUGGAUAACCUACCUAUAAGACUGGGAUAACUUCGGGAAACCGGAGCUAAUACCGGAUAAUAUAUUGAACCGCAUGGUUCCAUAGUGAAAGACGGUUUUGCUGUCACUUAUAGAUGGAUCCGCGCCGCAUUAGCUAGUUGGUAAGGUAACGGCUUACCAAGGCAACGAUGCGUAGCCGACCUGAGAGGGUGAUCGGCCACACUGGAACUGAGACACGGUCCAGACUCCUACGGGAGGCAGCAGUAGGGAAUCUUCCGCAAUGGGCGAAAGCCUGACGGAGCAACGCCGCGUGAGUGAUGAAGGUCUUCGGAUCGUAAAACUCUGUUAUUAGGGAAGAACAAAUGUGUAAGUAACUAGGCACGUCUUGACGGUACCUAAUCAGAAAGCCACGGCUAACUACGUG
RNAcentral lists this ribosomal RNA (497 nucleotides) under uncultured bacterium. RNAcentral's name for it is "partial 16S ribosomal RNA". It matches the Rfam family "Bacterial small subunit ribosomal RNA", at positions 28 to 507 of the family's 1533-position model. The record is from RNAcentral.